CUUGAUGAAAGGAAAGGAGAGUCAAAGAAUUCAGGAAUCACCUUUUUCAAAUGUUUCAUUCCCUUUUUCCAUUCCUUAAAGGAAGCUCUUCCUAAGACUCGGAGCUGCUCAGAUCCCCUCUUUAUAGAGGCUUCUUCCACCAUGCACAUCUUUGCCAUUGACAUGCACUCACUGCCAGUGUCAUUCUAAGCUGAAGUUAUUGAUUGAUGCAUCACCCUCCUUCAUUAGGUAAUGAACUCCCCAAAGGCAGAGACGUUAAUGGAUGAAUGAAGAAAUGAAAUGAGAAGGAGCUAGAAAUGGAACAUGCUAUCUGUGAUGGUGCCUGCAGAGCUGUCUGCAUCCCAUUAUGCCUCACUGUAUGGAAAGCCUCCGAGGGACUGGAGAUUUGUCUAUGAUCAGUGCAUAUUCCGCUCUGUGUACGAAUCACAAAUGUUGAUAGAAAUAGCCAUGGGGUGUGCAAAGAACCCAUUUCGUAUGUCAGAAGAGUUGGGCCUCCGUUAGAUGAAAUGUCAAGGGAAGGCAGAUAUCUCAAUGGGAAAUGACCUUAAGAAAGCCCCGACCUCGCCAAAGAUGACCUUUUUGCAGCAAGAAACAUUAAAAUUACAACCAUAUUCAUGUUUUAGUUUCAAAAACAAUAUGUAUUUCUCCUCCACACUCUCCUGGCUUGGCAACCUACAUAUCUUAAAUAAAGAUAUACCGGGGUCCUAUUUCUACUUGGCAGAGCCAAGUUGAUUUAUUUCU
RNAcentral lists this long non-coding RNA (741 nucleotides) under Homo sapiens (human). RNAcentral's name for it is "HSALNT0379041". Lineage: Eukaryota; Metazoa; Chordata; Mammalia; Primates; Hominidae. The record is from RNAcentral.